RNAcentral lists this ribosomal RNA (494 nucleotides) under uncultured bacterium. RNAcentral describes it as "partial 16S ribosomal RNA". It matches the Rfam family "Bacterial small subunit ribosomal RNA", at positions 28 to 507 of the family's 1533-position model. The record is from RNAcentral.
GACGAACGCUGGCGGCGUGCUUAACACAUGCAAGUCGAACGGAAAGGCCUGCUUUCCCUUGUGGAUUGCGGGUACUCGAGUGGCGAACGGGUGAGUAACACGUGAGUGAUCUGCCCCCAACUUGGGUAUAAGCCUGGGAAACUGGGUCUAAUUCCCGAUAGGACUGCAGGGUGGUGCCUGUGGUGGAAAACGAUUUUCUAGUGGUUGGGGUUGAGCUCGCGGCCUAUCAGCUUGUUGGUGGGGUAAUGGCCUACCAAGGCGGCGACGGGUAGCCGGCCUGAGAGGGUGGACGGCCACAUUGGGACUGAGAUACGGCCCAGACUCCUACGGGAGGCAGCAGUGGGGAAUAUUGCACAAUGGGCGGAAGCCUGAGGCAGCGACGCCGCGUGGGGGAUGACGGCCUUCGGGUUGUAAACUCCUUUCGACCGCGAGGAAGCCACCUGGUUGGAAGGGUGGUGACGGUAGUGGUAGAAGAAGCACCGGCUAACUACGUG